UUCUCAGCUGUUGUCGCAGGCGUGAUAAUGUCUUGCAGUAAAGCUGUCGCACCUACCUGUCAUAACUAAAUAAGCGUCUUCCACAACAGAGGCAGAACAGGGCACGCUCCAUUUGUUUAGGCCGCUGCGAAGAUGUUUUCUUCAUGAACAUGUUGUUUGCUCGAAGAAGCCAUGGCUCCUCCCUGACACGCUGUACACUUUAAGCCCGGGAUGUGUGACCGGGCCAUGUUGAUGGUUCAUUACUCAACAUGAAUUCAGCAGUGCACGAAAUGAAGUGAAGGGGUCACGAGAAGCCUUGAGACUUUCCCAGGAGACAAGGCGGGGAACACCCUCGAUGGGGUACCAACUCACUCUAGACCGCAAUCACACCCAAACCAUGACCCCAUAACUCGCAUCUUCGAACUAGACGAGGAACCUGGAGUAUUCGAACCCCUAACCCUCUUAUGUGAUAGUGUCUUCUUAAAAACUUAAGAUGUUUUGAGAUGAUUUUUUAAAUAGAGUUAAAAGUUCGAAAAUCAUAUUUAAACAAAAAUUGAUAUUAUAAAUACAAUCUAGAUUAAAAUCUAAUUUUAAUUAACUGAGAGAAAUUCCCAGAUAAUUGCUACAUGGCAUUAAUAUUCUAUUCAAAUGUUUCUCUUUAUCAAGGCCAUGGCAUAAUGUUUUAAGCUGCACUAACUAAGUGAAGUUCAAGGAUAAACUCAUAACAGUUUUUAUAUACUUUCUGUCCUCCUGUUUACUCUGUUGCUAAAUACUUCUACCUCUAUAGGUAUGAGUCAAUGCAAUUAAAGUGAAAACAAACAAACAAAAAGCAAAUGGACGAGACACUACAUGCGUUUUCAGACCAAAUUAUUUUGACUGCCAAACUGAUUAUUAUGUCUGCCAUUAGGAGUGCGCCUCAUGCCCCUGCUUUCCUACAUGUUUAUGUUAACUCUGGGCAUAAUAAAGUAGAAGUAAAGCCAUUUUCCAGGUUACUGGGCAGACAACUGUUUCUCCAGACAUUAACUAAAUUGAUCAAGCAGAAGAUUAAAUGCAAAUUCAUUAGAUGAAAAAUGUUACAUAAUGCCUUACGUAAAUGCAGUAGAAAAAAAAGCAAUUUUUUUUCCCUCCAGAUUUGAUCCUCUGAAACUCCUCUUCCUUUUUUCCUGGAAGAAAAACAGAAUGUGGCCUGUGGUUCAGACCAACUUGACCGUGUGAGGCUCCUCGGUGUGCAGAAAUACACAGGAUCAAAUGGCAAUCUGUCGAAAUAACAAGGUCUCGGGUUUUUAAAUUUGUACAUUUUCAAUGGGGAAGGUUGGAGGCAAGAUUAUAAGCUAUUUUUGUAUGAAUAUCUCCAAAUUUUGUCAGAUUAAACUGCUUUGUGUGAGCCAUAAAUCAUAUACAGUCUUUUAGAUACGCUGGGAAGACUGCGUGCUGUUGCUUUAGCAUUCUUGAUGUCUCUCUUACGCCACACACUAACUCCUUCUAAUGCAACGACGCAAAAACAAUGAGAAUUGUACAGCAGGUUUUAAAAUGAUCAAUAAAGUCAAUUUCAACAACAUGCAUCAAAAGCUUAGCAGAAAUCCAGAUCUUGAGAAAGCCAAAAUGCGCAUAGAAAUGUCCUUGAGGGAGCACAAGGAUCAAUCCUUGACUCAGAGGAGGAACCCUGACAUCACAUAAAAUUCAUAGGAAUACUAAUAAGCGAGUGAUUUUGUUGAAUUUUGUUGAAAAGAAGUCAUUACAAGAGCUAAAGCCCGGUCUUUACCCCAGCCAUCUCCUGCAUUCACACUAGCAUGAAUAACUGAUGUCGCUUGAAGUGGCCAUGUGAUGAGCAUUUCAUGUUUCAUAUAUAUGUUGCUUAUCUGGCUUUUGUCUUUUUUUAGUUGCAAUUAAAUACAAGUGAGAACUGAAGUAGUGAAGGUAAGGGACAUCGGACAAGCCUCACCAAAGGAUUGGUCUGAGUAGUGAAUCAUUUGUAUUUGCUGCUUUAUAACUAAUUUGCACAGAUCUCCACUGAUCUUUCGUGGAAUCUUUAGUAAUUCCCACCCAUUAGAUUAGCUAGCUUUCCCCCAUAUCACACAACAGCUACUAAGUACAAAGGAGUGGAAGCUAGAACAUGGUUUCUCGAAGACCAUUAAGCUAGCCAUGACUGGCUGAUUAAUAGGGGAGAGAGUAACAUGAACAUGGCCAAUAUUUGUUCUGUGGAAUCCUGGCAAUGGAUGGCUGUGGCAUCGCUGGGAUACAAACCUGUGAUCUCCUGGUUAUAGAGCAAACUCUGUUGAAAGUUUGGAAGGAUUAGUCUUGCAGUCCUGAUUUCCUUUCCAGUUAAUAGGUUGUUUUUGUUAGCCAUGGUGGACAAGAGCUGCCUUCUUUAACAAGGAGAGCUCUUAGAUGAAGAAUUUGUCACAGCACAGUGAAAUUCUUUUCUUGGCAUAUCCCAGCUCGUUAGGAAGCUGGAGUCAGAUCACAGGGUCAGACAUGAUUCAAGGAGCAGAAAGGGUUCAGAGCCUUGCUCAAGGGCCAAAGAGUGGCACCAAAGCAGUGCUGGGGCUUGAACCCCCAAUCUUCCAAUCAACAACCAUUUAAGCCAACUGCUCAAGUCAAGCGGCUCUUUUCACUGACAGUACAACUACAAGUUUUUACUAUUUAUUAUUUAUUGAUAGGGAUUGGUCCGGUGGAAAAUUGGGUAGUGUUGACCCCUUAGAGCGCCAGGGUCCCAGUUCAAAGUUGAUCUUGGUUUGGUGUCUAUGUCAAAUUUGCAUGCUCUUUCUGUUUCUGCACUGGUUUCCUGUGGGUUCAGUUUUAUUUCAUCUACCAUAAACAUUUCAGUAGGUGGAGUUUGGUGAAUUGCCCCAUGUGUGUAGCGCCUGAUGAUGGACUGGCAUUCAGUUUGUGCUGUUUUUCCACCUCACACCCAGUGAUCCGGGGAUAGGCUCCGGAUCCACUGAUUCAGACCAAGACACGAUAUUUGUAACCAUCUGAAAACUGCUAGAUUUCAAAGCACCUGAGGACAAGUCUAGUAUGCUGCACACCUCACAAAUGAUUUUUACAGUCCAGUGACUAUAUCAUGCUCUAGAAAGCUCCUUGACAUCAAGUUUGUUUCCCUGUUUCCUGGCGCAUGGAGCUGUCAUGACAUCCAAUGAAGCUGUAACUGACAAGAUUGUGAUAAGGGUGGAUUAGCAAGAUGAGAGCUGCCAAGUCGAAUCAACUUCCUGGGAUGCAUCAUGCCGGUUUGGAGAGAGGGAUUAGGGACUCUCUUGCCCUUUAUGUUUCUCAGCGUAAACCCGGGCCCUAUUCAGUUCAAUUUUGACUGACGACCAAAGAAUUCUUUUCCUAUAUGUGAUAUUUUGUGUCUUUACCACCUUAAAAACACCACUGUUCAUCACUCAAAUGCAGAUCCAGAGACUUUUAGAAUCAAUGCCAAGCUGUAUUAGUGGCCCAAUACCUUACUAAGACACUCUAUGUUGUCUUUUCCAUUAAUUUGCCAGUAAUUAAUUGGUACAUUUAAAUUGCACCAGUGAAUUGAUCCCAUUCAUAAUGCAGUUUCUAUCGAAUUGGAAUUUAUGACUCCCGCUGCAGUAGAGGGAAUAGAAGCCUGCAAACAGGGCUUUGUUUACAUUAGGCUCAUCAGUUUAAUUUUCACCUUUAUAUUCCAAUCAGUGCUCAGCUCAAAUAACCGCUCUGUACGGAAUAAACAUCGUCCCCUGCUGAAACAGUCGGAGCCUCUCUAAAUCUCAGGAGCACAGUCAAACAUCCAUAACAAGUAAAGAAACAUACUGCGUAGGCUCUGCUGUGGCUUAGCGGAGGUGUGUGUGGGUGUAAGUGAGCCAGGAGAGAGGAAAGGAGCUGUACACAUGCACACUGGAGAAAACAUGCUUACUUUUUCAGCAAGUGCUAAUCAGAAUCAGGUAGAAGAGAAAUGAGUGUAGUGGUCUCUUUCCCACUGUGUGGGUUCAGUUUUGCAAGGUUGCUAGGUCUGUGUGACCAAACUAGACUGGGGAGAAAACAAAAUCUGCUCCUCCGAAGCACUAAAUUUACAACCACUGCUGCCAAAUAUACUGGAAAAUCCCUAAAGUAACACUUUAUAAUGGCUUUUUAAACAACACAGUGUUUUUAAUACAAUUUUUUUUUCUUCUUUAAAUAUGGCUUAAAACCUCUCAUAUUAAUACAUGUUAACAAAUUUACUGAUAGAGAACAAGCUCCUUUAGGCAGUUAUUCAAUAUGCAUGUUAUUUUUAACAUGCCAUUUCACCAGCUGUUUACUUGCUUGAAUGUAUUUAUUAAAAAAAUGUAGCUUAUAAAUUUGUCAUUAAACCCAAUCAAAAUUAAUCCUAACCCUAACCCUAAAAAUAAACUUUUUAAUUUUUUAACAUUUUUCUUUAUAAAAUUUUUUAAAUAAUUUUAGUCAUUUUCACACACACACACACACACACACACACUUUAUCAGCCCUGUGUGUAUCACUGUGUUCUUGUUCUUGACCACCAGUUCAUUCACAGUGUCUUGCUUUCAUAAAAAAAACCCCAAAAAACAUGCCAUCAGUCUUUUAAAGAGACACUAAUCAUGCUGUUAUUUGUCAUCUGUUUCCCGUUGAUUAAAGCUUGUUUUGAAGAAAUUUAAACAUCCUUCUUUAAUCAGUUCACAGCAAUCUAGAGGGAGACUUUGUGCACGAAGAAGACUUAAAAUGUGGAACAUUUUGCUGUAGGAUAAAGCAGCAAAUACUUUCACAUGAUCUCACGAGAAGCAGCCCUGUAUCAUGAUGCUCCCACCACCACGCUUCACUGUAGGAAUGCUCAUAAGUCAAACCCUUAUUUCUAUAAAUAUGACAAGACAAAUUAUUGUGAAAGAGUAUUUUUUUGUUGUCUUGUUUUGUCUGACCAGAGAAUAUUGUUGGUAAACAAUCUGCUCUGGGGAUGUUGUAGCUUAGUGGUGUUGGACAUCUGAUCAGAAGGUUGUGAGUUCCCAGGUCCACCAAGCUGCCAUUGCUGGGCUCCUGAGCAUGGCCCUUAACCCUCAAUUACUCAGUUGUACAAAAUGAGAUAAAUUGUAAGUCGCUUUGAAUAAGGACAUCUGCCAAAUGCCAGAAAUGUAAAUGUUCUGAUCGCUUCUUCUUCGAAAAGAAAAGAAGAUGAUUGCAGUGCAGUUCACUGCUUAAUGUUGUUCCUGCUGCUUUCAGGUCAUCCUGCAACUUAUGUCAAGUGACUGCUGGCUUCUGUAUUCACUUUUCCUUUCCUUAUCAUUAGUCUAAGAGAGUGCUGUGAAAUCUUGCAAUGAUUGAUUUAUCUGAACAUAACGUAACUGGUUCUAUCAACUUUUUACCUGUUGUACUGCAGUAGAUGAAGGUCAGGUCUUUGCUUUGGCUCUGUAGUUUUUUCCACUCAACUUCAAGUGCUGAAUAAUAUUGUCUCUGAGCAUUUCUUAAGCUCCUUAACCUUUACCAUAAUUGCUGCUUGUGCAAAAUCUUUUCAAUAAGUAAGUGGUAACAGCUUUUAUAUUGACUAGGUGCAAUUUGCAUAAAAAAUAUCUUAAUCUGAUUUAAGACUGUUCAAAUGAGAAAUCUCUAUGAUCCUAGAAAACAAGCAAAGAAAUACACAAAAUCACUGUAUGCGAUGUUCAAGAGCCGGUCUCUUGCUGUCAGAUGUAGCAUUCGGUCAUAAAAUGUGCAUCUAAACGAUCGUAAAAACACCUUGCUCGUUUGUUCCAUGGUUAACGAGAAGUUUAAGGUGUAAAAGCGGCAGACUUGAUCGAGCAUGGAAGCAAAUCAGCACUUUUCCAGCUUGUGGUUUCCGGUUGCAGAUUUCACAUCACGUAAAUAAUGACCUUGUAUGGUGUAAAAUAUCUGCUUUAGUUUGAACCGGUGAUACAUUCGACAGUUCAGGAUGACGACAGGAUUUAGGUUGUGCGAAAGACUUCCUAGUGAAGGAUUUCUAGAGUUUCGAACGUCAUGGAUAAAUCGAGAGGGAUAGAUUAGCGUUGAAAAAGCCCACUGCUGGUGAUAAAGCUUAAUAUUCAUCUGCACUCAAGUUUCAAAUCACUGAAGAGUUCUCAACAUGUAAGCACAACAUUAAUCGUCUGCAAUUGCAGCUAAUGCAAUACUCUCUUGUUUCGUCGCAAUUUCCCAAGCAGCCUUUGCUAGACAGUUAUAUGUUGCAUUACAAAGUUACAGAGCCUUGCAUAAGUAUUCACCCCCUUAUUUUUACACAUAAUAUUGAAGUGGAGGGAAAAAUCCACAUACAGUACUUCACUAUUUGUUGCUAUCUGAAGUCACAUAAUCGGAUGAAUACAUAAUAACUUGAAACAGAUGAAUAAACCCUAAAGGAAAUGAUUAUGAGCUCAACUCAAUAUAAAAUAUAACAGUAUAAACAGAAAGUUGCAUCAUCUAAAUUUUCUAAAGAUCACACGAAGACGUCUCAUUGUUUUUUUCCCCCUUUUAUUAUCUUUAUAUUUAAUGACACUGAGAUAUGAACCGUGAAGGGUCAACACUUAAACCCAAAUUAUAAAAUUAAAGGCAAGUAAUUAAUAAAAAAAAAUGAAAAGUAAACAAGUUUUAAUGUCCUCAUGCUGUUAACUUGGAUGCUAGCUAAGUAUAUUUUGUCUGUUUGCUAAUUCUAUGCUAAA
Long non-coding RNA from Hemibagrus wyckioides, 6591 nucleotides. RefSeq lists it as uncharacterized. The record is from RefSeq and is a predicted model, not a curated record. NCBI's taxonomy places the organism in Eukaryota, Metazoa, Chordata, Actinopteri, Siluriformes, Bagridae. The transcript is spliced from 3 exons.